UGCUGGUCUUUGUUUUUGCUGGAUGCCAUGACAGGUAAGUGCAUCAUUCCUCGAUUUAGGUCUAGUGGUUGCAGAGAUUUGUUUCUAAACUGGGGGCUGACACCACGACCGGCGGUGCGUUAUAGGUUCCCACUCCGGGAGGAGUUCGCCGACAGCCUAGAACACCCAGAUCCGGUCCCUCUCGCUGUGCUGCGGACGGGAGAAGCCAGCGCUAUUGUGCUGGAGGAGUCAAACGCGGGAUCUAGAUAAGGGCAACAAGUUGGGUGUCGCCGGCCGGAGGAGUCGCAGGGUGGCAUGCGCCGGUGGCGUGAGGCAUGCUCGGUCUUCCCAGUCGUCCGACAGGUUCAACCCCAAGGCGCCCGAUUGGACAAAAAGGUAUGCGCUGGAUGCAUACCCAAUUUCUCUGCAUUUUGUUGUAGAUGGCUGGAUGUUAGACUGUUGUAGUAUGGUCUAUAUCUUCGUAUUGUAGUUUUCCUUCUCCCUAGAGAGAUUUAAAUCAAGUUCACUGCCCAUGGGAACUUGUUCCUGCAGAAGUGCAGAUAACUUGUUAGUUCUCCUAGUCCGGCAAUUACUUUGAACAGUCAUACUUUGCAGUUGAACCUAAUGAAAAGUAAUGGUUUGCUUGAAAAAUUCAGGUUGCGUCUCGGCAGUGCACCACCCGACAGGAUGCCGUGCCCCUCUAGGAUGAGUGCACAAGAGAAGUCGAUUCGCAAAUACUCGGAGGAGCCAACACAAAGUGUUAUUACACCAGAACUAGGAAUUAGUUUCGACUCACUUGGCGAUGGAUAUGAUUUCUACACCUUGUAUUCGUGCGAGAUCGGCUUGGGAGUUAGGUAUGGAAAGAACAGGCUGAAUGCCGAGAGGACCAAAUCAGCGCGGGAGAUCGUUUGCGGAUGUUGAUUGUGUACUAAGAAAAUGGACUUCAAAUUUGUUACCUGCAGAUCAGCUGAUUUGCAAGUUUCAUGCUAUACUGAGAAGCAACUAUAUGUAACAUGCAUGUAUAUCUGUUUGUUAGAUAGUUGUUGAUUGGAAAGAAUCCACUGGAAUAGAGCAUUUCCUUUUCGCGUCCUACAGUCUCUUUGAGAUAAUUGCAUCACCGAAGAUGUAUUUAGUGGUUUUCUCAUGUAAUGCGCUGCAGCAACAUAUCUCUGAUGCUCGCUGUCAGUGUACUGAAACCUUCAUCUGAGUUUGAGGUUAUCUAAGUGUAUAGAAACUGAAAGUUACAUGUUUAAUUUCCAUUAUAUGUGGGUUUCUUCAUAUUUCUGUUAACUGUAGAUGCUCUAGAGUCUGCAUAUGAAAUCAUGGAUAAUUUGUUGUUGUGCACUGUUAUGUCAGCAACUCCGCCUAUGUCUUCUAGGCAUAGCCGGUCCCAAGCCCGGGUAAAGGAGGAGGGUUGUGAUAGGCUUGGCGAGCCAACGUAAAAACUAGCCAGUCCCAUAGGUAUGAAACCGAUUUGAGCGAGAGUAGUACUAGGAUGGGUGACCUCCUGGGAAGUCCUUGUGAAAGAGUUUCAUAUCUAAGGGUUGUGAUAGGCUUGGCGAGCCAACGUAAAAACUAGCCAGUCUUUUGGGUAUGAAACCCAUUUGGGCGAGAGUAGUACUAGGAUGGGUGACCUCCUGGGAAGUCCUCGUGAAAGGGUUUCAUAUCUAGCCUACCCCAACUUGUUUGGGAUCAAAGGCUUCGUAAGAAUGAGAGAGGCACUGUUAUGUCAGCGGUACUUCCAUUUUUGACAUUUCAAAAUAUUUUGCAGGAGGAUGUGCUCCAUGCAAGAGGAAGGACAAACGGGGUAGUAGAAAUUCAUCUUAGGUAAUAGGCUUACCUGAGGUUUGCAUAUUUCUUCUCCUCUCUACUUGUUACGGAAUAGCAGACUGAAGUUAACUUCGUGCGUACUGAAAAAAAUGCUUAAUUGCUCUUUGAGGCAGGACAUUCAAUUGAACAUACAACUGUUCAUAAAUUUGGGGCUGACAUUUUACAUUGAUUAAUUUGCAGGGGAAGCAAGCAGAGAACAGUAGAUAGUGCCUGCCGUUCUGGAAUCAGCCUGGCACAGAAUAAUGCCUGAGCCGUUCUCCAGUUAGUUGUUCCGUCUCUCCCUUAUGCUGUGGCCGCAUUUAAUGCACCCACAGGCAGGCUUCAUUUUCCGUCCAUACAUCUGCUAUACAGAGUAAAAUACAGCACUGCUUCACGCAUCCCCAUGCAAGUGAAUGGUGGUGAUUUCAGGAUCAGCUGAGCCUGGGCUCAUAAACGAAUAUCCGGUAUUUUCUGCAAUGUCUCUUUCCUUUGGAAGAGAGAGGUCAGCAACUGCAAACUCAAUGACUGAAGCUUCAAAUAGUACUGAAUUCUUCUCAUCAAUUUUAGAAAGAUAGCCUCCGGCCCUGAUUACUUCACCUUUCUCCAAUAACACCCUGUCCACAUGUUUUUUUGCAACUGAGAGUUGAGAGCGCAGCUAGUCUUCUCCAUUGUUGAGAAGAUAUUGUCUACCCCUUCCAGGUCACAAGACUAAGAAAAUAAUCAACUCCUGCGAUCUCCACAACAGAAAGCCAAAAAAAGAAUGCAGUAUUUAUUUGGUUUCAGAGACAAGCAUUGUGUUUCAACCAAAGGAGCUACUUUUAAGCGUACUGGUAUUGACUGGCUGACUGAUCAUGACCAUACAGAAUAUGUGUAAUGCGUGCAUCCAUUGGAGGCAUCCAAAUUGCACAACUUUUUAUCUAAAGAAAUUCUUCAAGGUAAUCGCACAACACCCUAGAAUGUACCAUGACAAAUGUUUGAGAUGAGAAUUCCAAUGGCAGUAAAGCGCUGAUCCUUCACGCUCUGUUCAUGAUAAGUCCGUCAGUCAAUACAAUAAGAAUAAAGGUAAAU
This 2856-nucleotide long non-coding RNA is filed under the name Triticum aestivum (bread wheat). The record is from RNAcentral. Lineage: Eukaryota; Viridiplantae; Streptophyta; Magnoliopsida; Poales; Poaceae.